GUUGGCUCUUUGCUUGCGCAACAACUUCCACCUGGCAUACCUCUUCAGUUUUGUGUCAAUGCUUGUAUCGCAUUGAAUGCACGGUGGGUUUCUUGUGUUGCAUGCCUAAUUGAUGGUAUCGUUUGACGAAUCGAUGUCUAUUUUCGUCUUGUGUUGCACAUGCGAUGCGAGAUGAACCUUAAAGUAGCCUUUGUGAUCCACUCUUUUGAUGCACAUGCAUCGAUUUUGUGGCUCAUUGAGUGUUUGCUUGGUCUCAUGGAUAUGGAACCUUGUGUGGGCAUGUGAUCUUUUAGUAGCUCCUUGUUUGCCCUAGUUAAGCUUUUCAAAUACGAUUUCCUAUCAUGUUCUAACGUGGUAGGCUAUAUCGAAUAUGAAUG
This 377-nucleotide unclassified non-coding RNA is filed under the name Ozothamnus costatifructus. RNAcentral describes it as "partial external transcribed spacer". Lineage: Eukaryota; Viridiplantae; Streptophyta; Magnoliopsida; Asterales; Asteraceae. The record is from RNAcentral.